AUACGGAGGAUGCAAGCGUUAUCCGGAUUUAUUGGGUUUAAAGGGUGCGUAGGCGGAUGAUUAAGCGUGAGGUGAAAUGCCACUGCUCAACAGUGGAACUGCCUCGCGAACUGGUUGUCUUGAAUGCUCCUGCCGUGGGAGGAAUGUGUGGUGUAGCGGUGAAAUGCAUAGAGAUCACACAGAACACCGAUUGCGAAGGCAUCGCACGAAGGGGUGAUUGACGCUGAGGCACGAAAGCGUGGGGAUCAAACAGGAUUAGAUACCCUGGUAGUCCAUGCAGUAAACGAUGAUAACUAGCCGCUGGGUCGUAGUGAUUCAGUGGCCAAGCGAAAGCGAUAAGUUAUCCACCUGGGGAGUACGACCGCAAGGUUGUAACUCAAAUGAAUUGACGGGG
RNAcentral lists this ribosomal RNA (394 nucleotides) under uncultured bacterium. RNAcentral describes it as "partial 16S ribosomal RNA". It matches the Rfam family "Bacterial small subunit ribosomal RNA", at positions 523 to 918 of the family's 1533-position model. The record is from RNAcentral.